UUCGACACACUAUCAUUAACUGAAUCCAUAGGUUAAUGAGGCGAACCGGGGGAACUGAAACAUCUAAGUACCCCGAGGAAAAGAAAUCAACCGAGAUUCCCCCAGUAGCGGCGAGCGAACGGGGAGCAGCCCAGAGCCUGAAUCAGUGUGUGUGUUAGUGGAAGCGUCUGGAAAGGCGCGCGAUACAGGGUGACAGCCCCGUACACAAAAAUGCACAUGCUGUGAGCUCGAUGAGUAGGGCGGGACACGUGGUAUCCUGUCUGAAUAUGGGGGGACCAUCCUCCAAGGCUAAAUACUCCUGACUGACCGAUAGUGAACCAGUACCGUGAGGGAAAGGCGAAAAGAACCCCGGCGAGGGGAGUGAAAAAGAACCUGAAACCGUGUACGUACAAGCAGUGGGAGCACGCUUCGGCGUGUGACUGCGUACCUUUUGUAUAAUGGGUCAGCGACUUAUAUUCUGUAGCAAGGUUAACCGAAUAGGGGAGCCGAAGGGAAACCGAGUCUUAACUGGGCGUUAAGUUGCAGGGUAUAGACCCGAAACCCGGUGAUCUAGCCAUGGGCAGGUUGAAGGUUGGGUAACACUAACUGGAGGACCGAACCGACUAAUGUUGAAAAAUUAGCGGAUGACUUGUGGCUGGGGGUGAAAGGCCAAUCAAACCGGGAGAUAGCUGGUUCUCCCCGAAAGCUAUUUAGGUAGCGCCUCGUGAAUUCAUCUCCGGGGGUAGAGCACUGUUUCGGCAAGGGGGUCAUCCCGACUUACCAACCCGAUGCAAACUGCGAAUACCGGAGAAUGUUAUCACGGGAGACACACGGCGGGUGCUAACGUCCGUCGUGAAGAGGGAAACAACCCAGACCGCCAGCUAAGGUCCCAAAGUCAUGGUUAAGUGGGAAACGAUGUGGGAAGGCCCAGACAGCCAGGAUGUUGGCUUAGAAGCAGCCAUCAUUUAAAGAAAGCGUAAUAGCUCACUGGUCGAGUCGGCCUGCGCGGAAGAUGUAACGGGGCUAAACCAUGCAC
RNAcentral lists this ribosomal RNA (1015 nucleotides) under Escherichia coli. Its description in RNAcentral is "partial 23S ribosomal RNA". It matches the Rfam family "Bacterial large subunit ribosomal RNA", at positions 139 to 1194 of the family's 2925-position model. The record is from RNAcentral. Lineage: Bacteria; Pseudomonadati; Pseudomonadota; Gammaproteobacteria; Enterobacterales; Enterobacteriaceae.